Molecule: long non-coding RNA, 660 nt
Filed under: Salmo salar (Atlantic salmon)
Lineage: Eukaryota; Metazoa; Chordata; Actinopteri; Salmoniformes; Salmonidae
Description: lncRNA (ENSSSAG00000094047.1)
Source: RNAcentral
CUGGACAGAUGGGUUAGUAUUAUAGGUGUGGUACUAGACAGAUGGGUUAUGGGUAGUAUUAUAGGUGUGGUACUGGACAGAUGGGUUAGUAUUAUAGGUGUGGUACUGGACAGAUGGGUUAGUAUUAUAGGUGUGGUACAAGACAGAUGGUUUAUGGGUAGUCUUAUAAGUGUGGUACUGGACAGAUGGGUUAGUAUUAUAGGUGUGGUACUGGACAGAUGGGUUAGUAUUAUAGGUGUGGUAGUAGACAGAUGUGUUAUGGGUAGUAUUAUAGGUGGGGUACUAGACAGAUGUGUUAUGGGUAGUAUUAUAGGUGUGGUACUAGACAGAUGGGAUAGUAUUAUAGGUGUGGUACUAGACAGAUGGAUUAGUAUUAUAGGUGUGGUACUGGACAGAUAGGUUAUGGGUAGUAUUAUAGGUGUGGUACUGGACAGAUGGGUUAGUAUUAUAGGUGUGUUACUAGACAGAUGGGUUAGUAUUAUAGGUGUGGUACUAGACAGAUGGGUUAGUAUUAUAGGUGUGGUACUGGACAGAUGGGUUAUGGGUAGUAUUAUAGGUGUGGAACUAGACAGAUGGGUUAGUAUUAUAGGUGUGGUACUGGACAGAUGGGUUAGUAUUAUAGGUGUGGUACUAGACAGAUGGGUUAUGGGUAGUAUUAUA